Molecule: long non-coding RNA, 1281 nt
Organism: Anas platyrhynchos (mallard)
Lineage: Eukaryota; Metazoa; Chordata; Aves; Anseriformes; Anatidae
Source: RefSeq, a predicted model, not a curated record
CUUCCGGCCCCGCGGCCCCGCUGCGGAGAGCACGGCCAGAAACGGAGCCGCCUGAACGAAGGUUCCGGGGGAGGAGGAGGAGAGAAAGGAGGAGGAGGAGGAGGAAGAAGAAGCAGCGGCAGCAGCAGGGAUUUGGGGUUCUGCCCCUCUGUCUGCCCACGGGCUCCCGCCGUCAGGCUGGGUCUGAGGGGUGCGUGCCCAGGCUGCCCGUGGGGACCUCCGGGCUUGCACCCAGCGCCUGGUUUGAGCCCUUCUUGCAGCAACUCAGCUUGGACAGGAGGAAAAUUAUUGUCAAGUUGUGCCAGGGGAGGUUCAGGGUGGAAAUUCAGAGACGUUUCUGCUCAGAAAGAGCAGUCAGGCACUGGGACGGGUUGCCCAGGGAGGUGGUGGUGUCACCGUCCCUGGGGGUGCUCAAGGAAAGGCUGGAUGUGGUGCUUGGGGACAGGGCUCAGUGGUGAUGGUGCUGUGUGCUUGGACCAGGUGAUCUCGGAGGUCUUUUCCAACCCCAAUGAUUCCAUGAUUCUUCCUAUUUGCAGCUAGGACAUGUUUGAAAACUCCUCGUGACUUCUCAAAGUCGUCUUUUCCCCAGCUUAACCAGCCCCCCCUUCCCCGCAGACCACGUUUCCUCAUUCCUCUCCCUUCUCUGUGCUGUCUCUGGGCACCGUGCUGCACCCUUGUUGCUGCAGGACUGUGCAGACAGACAAAUUUGGGGUGUCUUUUAAGUCGGGAUGCUGUUUAUACGGUGGGAUUUUUUUCAGAGCAAAUUAAAUUGCACAAGAUUGGCAAAGGAUGACAUGAAACAUGGAUGCAUUUUCAGGACUGAGGUUAAAGGUGCAAGAACGAGUUUUGAACAACCAAGUCUCCCAAGAAAAGGUGUUCUGUAGGAGCAGAAAUUGUCAUCAGGAGCUGGACUCUGCCUGUAAACAGUGAAUAGAUUGGAUGAGUCCUGAUUCUUCCCAGGAGCUCCGGGUUUGGUGGGAUACCCUGCAUGCAACUCACCUCUCUUCUCCUUGAAAGGGCAGCUCAGUGACCCCUACUGCUCCCUAGCCUUCUACAAACACUACAAGUAGUAAGAUUGACAUUUGCAGAUGCAGCAAAAGCUGACCAGGCAGAAAAAGUGUGUGUGGCACUCCUGUUUUCUGCUGCUGUCACCUCCCAAAAUAAUGAGUCAUUUCCCAAAAUCAUCAACCUGCUUUGGGAAAGGUACCUUGGUGGUUGUUUCCUGUCCUUUGUAACUUUUAGGUAGCACUGAUCCCAAUAAACAGGUAUAUCAGAAAUGGA